This 465-nucleotide ribosomal RNA is filed under the name Vreelandella stevensii. RNAcentral describes it as "partial 16S ribosomal RNA". It matches the Rfam family "Bacterial small subunit ribosomal RNA", at positions 338 to 795 of the family's 1533-position model. Lineage: Bacteria; Pseudomonadati; Pseudomonadota; Gammaproteobacteria; Oceanospirillales; Halomonadaceae. The record is from RNAcentral.
CCUACGGGCGGCAGCAGUGGGGAAUAUUGGACAAUGGGCGAAAGCCUGAUCCAGCCAUGCCGCGUGUGUGAAGAAGGCCUUCGGGUUGUAAAGCAUUUUCAGUGGGGAAGAAAGCCUUGGGGCUAAUACCCUCGAGGAAGGACAUCACCCACAGAAGAAGCACCGGCUAACUCCGUGCCAGCAGCCGCGGUAAUACGGAGGGUGCGAGCGUUAAUCGGAAUUACUGGGCGUAAAGCGCGCGUAGGCGGUCUGAUAAGCCGGUUGUGAAAGCCCCGGGCUCAACCUGGGAACGGCAUCCGGAACUGUCAGGCUAGAGUGCAGGAGAGGAAGGUAGAAUUCCCGGUGUAGCGGUGAAAUGCGUAGAGAUCGGGAGGAAUACCAGUGGCGAAGGCGGCCUUCUGGACUGACACUGACGCUGAGGUGCGAAAGCGUGGGUAGCAAACAGGAUUAGAUACCCCGGUAGUC